Molecule: ribosomal RNA, 468 nt
Filed under: uncultured bacterium
Lineage: Bacteria
Description: partial 16S ribosomal RNA
Rfam family: Bacterial small subunit ribosomal RNA
Source: RNAcentral
GACGAACGCUGGCGGCGUGCUUAACACAUGCAAGUCGAACGGAAAGGCCCUGCGCUUGUGGGGUGCUCGAUUGGCGAACGGGGGAGUAACACGUGAGUAACCUGCCCUUGACUUUGGGAUAACUUCAGGAAACUGGGGCGAAUACCGGAUAGGAGCUCCUGCUGCAUGUUGGGGGUUGGAAAGUGUCGGCGGUUGGGGAUGGACUCGAGGCUUAUGAGCUUGUUGGUGGGGUAGUGGCUUACCAAGGCUUUGACGGGUAGCCGGCCUGAGAGGGUGACCGGCCACAUUGGGACUGCGAUACGGCCCAGAAUCCUACGGGCGGCAGCAGUGGGGAAUAUUGCACAAUGGGCGGAAGCCUGAUGCAGCAACGCCGCGUGCGGGAUGACGGCCUUCGGGUUGUAAACCGCUUUCGACUGUGACGAAGCGUGAGUGACGGUAAUGGGUAAAGAAGCACCGGCUAACUACGUG